AGAGCUCAUCAUUGGAAUCUGGCAGUGUUGCACUGUCCGAGUUGUAGAUGAGGAGUAGUCCGUCUGGACUGCAUGGCGUCCAAGUACAAUAGGCCGUCAGUGGGACAUCAUAGAGGGUGACAAUCCCGUCCUUGACGCUAAUGUGCAAGUCUAUUACGAUGGCUAUCUCAGAGAGUCGAGCAGUUUGGGAUUUGCUGCUUAAACAUGGGAGGUAGAUUCCUUCUAAAGCUAAAUACAGGCGAGAGACCGAUAGAGAACAAGUACCGCAAGGGAAAGAUGAAAUAGCACUCUGUGAAGGGAGUCAAAAGGCGUGAAAUUGUUGCGAGAGAAGCGAUUCAAGUCAGCGUAGCUAGGCCCAUCAAGCGUCUUCGCUUUGGACUAGCUUUGCCAGCGGUCUUGUCCCUUAAAGAGACUUGACUUGUAAUAUGUCCAGCCUGGCGUGCACAGGCAGCCCCUUCUGGGGGCCAGUGGCAUGGCUGGUGGAAUGGCUUGCAAUCGACCCGUCUUGAAACACGGACCAAGGAGUCUAACAUGUAUGCGAGUAUAAGGGUGGCAAACCCGUAUGCGCAAUGAAAGUGAUUUUCGGUGAUUGAGAAUGGCCUGAUGACCAGACAAGCAAUACAUGUCCCUCGUACGGCCAUUGCCCAAGUUCCGUGGUAGAUCCCACGAACAUGGAGUUGGAGCAUACAUGCUAGGACCCGAAAGAUGGUGAACUAUGCCUGGACAAAGCGAAGCCAAAGGAAACU
RNAcentral lists this ribosomal RNA (746 nucleotides) under Cantharellus pallens. RNAcentral describes it as "eukaryotic LSU rRNA". It matches the Rfam family "Eukaryotic large subunit ribosomal RNA", at positions 104 to 863 of the family's 3401-position model. The record is from RNAcentral. Lineage: Eukaryota; Fungi; Basidiomycota; Agaricomycetes; Cantharellales; Hydnaceae.